This is a long non-coding RNA of Pogoniulus pusillus (Red-fronted tinkerbird), 206 nucleotides long. RefSeq lists it as uncharacterized. The record is from RefSeq and is a predicted model, not a curated record. The transcript has 2 exons. NCBI's taxonomy places the organism in Eukaryota, Metazoa, Chordata, Aves, Piciformes, Lybiidae.
UUGGGCAGAAGGAUCCUCCUUGGAUCAUCACUGAUUCACUGCUUCCAUUCUCUUCAGAGGCACUAUAAAAGAAAUCGAGGGCACCAUCUACUCGAAAAGGAGGAGUCCAGAAAACUGCCACACUGCCUGAUGUAUUUUCCUUCUCACCUCAGGAGUGUCUACUACAUAAUUGGCAAUAAAUUGUUAUUACUUCCCACUAUAGCAAA